GAUGAACGCUGGCGGCGUGCUUAACACAUGCAAGUCGAACGGUGAAGGCGGAGCUUGCUCUGCUGGAUCAGUGGCGAACGGGUGAGUAACACGUGAGCAAUCUGCCCCUGACUCUGGGAUAAGCGCUGGAAACGGCGUCUAAUACUGGAUACGAGCUGCGAAGGCAUCUUCAGCAGCUGGAAAGAACUUCGGUCAGGGAUGAGCUCGCGGCCUAUCAGCUUGUUGGUGAGGUAACGGCUCACCAAGGCGUCGACGGGUAGCCGGCCUGAGAGGGUGACCGGCCACACUGGGACUGAGAGACGGCCCAGACUCCUACGGGAGGCAGCAGUGGGGAAUAUUGCACAAUGGGCGAAAGCCUGAUGCAGCAACGCCGCGUGAGGGACGACGGCCUUCGGGUUGUAAACCUCUUUUAGCAGGGAAGAAGCGAAAGUGACGGUACCUGCAGAAAAAGCGCCGGCUAACUACGUG
RNAcentral lists this ribosomal RNA (468 nucleotides) under uncultured bacterium. RNAcentral's name for it is "partial 16S ribosomal RNA". It matches the Rfam family "Bacterial small subunit ribosomal RNA", at positions 28 to 507 of the family's 1533-position model. The record is from RNAcentral.